AAUAUUGCGCAAUGGAGGAAACUCUGACGCAGCGACGCCGCGUGAGUGAUGAAGGUCUUCGGAUCGUAAAGCUCUGUCCUUGGGGACGAAGGUCUUCGGACUUGACGGUUCUCAUGGAGGAAGCCCCGACUAACUUCGUGCCAGAAGCCGAGGUAAUACGUAGGGGGCAAGCGUUGUCCGGAAUUAUUGGGCGUAAAGGGUGCGUAGGCGGCCUUUUAAGUCAGAUGUAAAAGCCCACGGCUCAACCGUGGGAUUGCAUUUGAAACUGGAGGGCUUGAGUAUCGGAGAGGGUAGUGGAAUUCCCAGUGUAGCGGUGAAAUGCGUAGAUAUUGGGAGGAACACCAGUGGCGAAGGCGACUACCUGAACGAUUACUGACGCUGAUGCACGAAAGCUAGGGGAGCAAAC
RNAcentral lists this ribosomal RNA (406 nucleotides) under uncultured bacterium. RNAcentral's name for it is "partial 16S ribosomal RNA". It matches the Rfam family "Bacterial small subunit ribosomal RNA", at positions 360 to 773 of the family's 1533-position model. The record is from RNAcentral.